RNAcentral lists this ribosomal RNA (262 nucleotides) under uncultured bacterium. RNAcentral's name for it is "partial 16S ribosomal RNA". It matches the Rfam family "Bacterial small subunit ribosomal RNA", at positions 524 to 777 of the family's 1533-position model. The record is from RNAcentral.
UACGUAGGGGGCAAGCGUUGUCCGGAUUUAUUGGGCGUAAAGAGCGUGUAGGCGGCCAAGCAGGUCCGCUGUGAAAACUCGAGGCUCAACCUCGAGACGUCGGUGGAAACCGUUUGGCUAGAGUCCGGAAGAGGAGAGUGGAAUUCCCGGUGUAGCGGUGAAAUGCGCAGAUAUCGGGAAGAACACCCGUGGCGAAGGCGGCUCUCUGGGACGGUACUGGACGGCAUGGAGACGGCGAAAAGCGUGGGGGAGCCGAACAGGG